AUACGUAGGGGGCGAGCGUUGUCCGGAAUGAUUGGGCGUAAAGGGCGCGUAGGCGGCCCGGUAAGUCUGGAGUGAAAGUCCUGUUUUUAAGAUGGGAAUUGCUUUGGAUACUGUCGGGCUUGAGUGCAGGAGAGGUAAGUGGAAUUCCCAGUGUAGCGGUGAAAUGCGUAGAGAUUGGGAGGAACACCAGUGGCGAAGGCGGCUUACUGGACUGUAACAGACGCUGAGGCGCGAAAGUGUGGGGAGCAAACAGGAUUAGAUACCCUGGUAGUCCACACUGUAAACGAUGAAUGCUAGGUGUAGGGG
Molecule: ribosomal RNA, 306 nt
Filed under: uncultured bacterium
Lineage: Bacteria
Description: partial 16S ribosomal RNA
Rfam family: Bacterial small subunit ribosomal RNA
Source: RNAcentral